RNAcentral lists this ribosomal RNA (406 nucleotides) under uncultured bacterium. RNAcentral's name for it is "partial 16S ribosomal RNA". It matches the Rfam family "Bacterial small subunit ribosomal RNA", at positions 28 to 526 of the family's 1533-position model. The record is from RNAcentral.
GAUGAACGCUAGCUACAGGCUUAACACAUGCAAGUCGAGGGACCGGCGCACGGGUGAGUAACACGUAUCCAACCUGCCCUGUACUCGGGGAUAGCCUUUCGAAAGAAAGAUUAAUACCCGAUGUAAAGGAUGGGGAUGCGUUCCAUUAGGUUGUUGGUGAGUGAACGGCUCACCAAGCCUUCGGUGGAUAGGGGUUCUGAGAGGAAGGUCCCCCACAUUGGAACUGAGACACGGUCCAAACUCCGACGGGAGGCAGCAGUGAGGAAUAUUGGGCAAUGGGCGUUAGCCUGAACCAGCCAAGUAGAGUGAAGGAUGAAGGCUUAUGGGUCGUAAACUUCUUUUAUAUAAGAAUAUGUAUUAUAUGAAUAAGGAUCGGCUAACUCCGUGCCAGCAGCCGCGGUAAUAC